CCUACGGGUGGCAGCAGUGAGGAAUAUUGGUCAAUGGCCGGAAGGCUGAACCAGCCAAGCAGCGUGAAGGAUGACUGCCCUACGGGUUGUAAACUCCUUUUAUAAGGGAAUAAAGUGAGGCACGUGUGCCUUUUUGUAUGUACUUUAUGAAUAAGGAUCGGCCAACUCCGUGCCAGCAGCCGCGGUAAUCCGGAGGAUCCGAGCGUUAUCCGGAUUCAUUGGGUUUAAGGGGAGCGUAGGUGGGUUGUUAGGCCAGUUGUGAAAGUUCGCGGCUCAACCGUAAAAUUGCAAUUGAUACUGGCAGUCUGGAGUACGGUUGAGGUAGGCGGAAUUCGUGGUGUAGCGGUGAAAUGCUUAGAUAUCACGAAGAACACCGAUGGCGAAGGCAGCUUACUAAACUGCCACUGACAUUGAUGCUCGAAAGUGUGGGUAUCAAACAGGAUUAGAUACCCCAGUAGUC
Molecule: ribosomal RNA, 460 nt
Filed under: uncultured bacterium
Lineage: Bacteria
Description: partial 16S ribosomal RNA
Rfam family: Bacterial small subunit ribosomal RNA
Source: RNAcentral